RNA transcript from Daucus carota subsp. sativus, 2177 nucleotides. It is a transcript of the gene named F-box/kelch-repeat protein At3g06240, with no coding region annotated. Lineage: Eukaryota; Viridiplantae; Streptophyta; Magnoliopsida; Apiales; Apiaceae. The record is from RefSeq and is a predicted model, not a curated record. The transcript has 3 exons.
AUUCAAUAAAUUACUCUGAUCAGAGAAACGGAUCGGGUUAAAUUGCUCCCCUCCUCACCAGUCACCACUAACCAUGACCCAAUUCCCAUACACAUAGUUCAUUCUAGAAAAUUGCACACACAGAGAGAAGCUCGCUCAUCUUAUGUAGCCAUGGAGAAUUUACCAGUCGAAAUCACAACCAACAUCUUCCUGAGACUACCAGCAAGAAGCCUAGGCCAGCUCCAAUGCGUUUCUAAAACCCUCAAAACCCUAAUCUCCUCUCCCUACUUCACCAAAACCCACCACGCCCAAACCCCACCUGCACUCCGCCGCCUCAAGCUGCUCUUCUGCACGUCGUCUCUUCACACUCUCGACAUCUUCAACGAGCAAAUUCAGCGGAACCCACGUCCGCAUUAUCUCCGUCUGCGCUCCAGCCAUGUCAGAAAUUACUGCGGAGCGGUUGAGCUGGUGGGCUCGUGCAAUGGCCUUGUGUGCCUCUUGUAUGCGUCGAAUAGGUACUCGUUGGUGAAUCCCACUACUCGGGCGAUGAGGGUUUUGCCGGACGCCGGGAUGUUACCGGCGCGGAUUAGGCUUUCGGGGUUUGGUUAUGUGGCUCGGAGGGAUGAUUAUAGGGUGGUUUGUGUGGGUUCGGAUGAGGUGAUGAGGGUUUUUUCGGCGAAGGAUGGAUCGUGGAGGAGGGUGUGGGCAUUGGUUCCUUUGCCGGUGAAUCGGGGGAUUAAGCCGGUUUUUGUUGGGGGUGUGGUUCAUUGGUUGGGUUUUGAUUCGGGGGCUUCACCGCUUCAUAAGGUUAUGGGGUUUGAUUUUGUGGAUGAGGAAGUGAAGAUGUUGCCAUUGUGCGAGCAGAUGAGUAAAAGGGUGAUUACGGCGUUGGGAGUGUUGGGAGGGCGUCUUUGUGUUUUAUCAGUGGCGGACCAUGAUAGGGAUUUGGAUUUGUGGGUGAUGAUGGAGUACGGGGUUCGGGAGUCUUGGAUGAGACUUUGUGAAUUGCCAAUAGUUUAUCCCCACAGCCCCUUUGCGUCUGUUUCCCCAAUUUCUUACGUGGGAUAUGAGAUUUUGUUUUUGGCUGAUUCCAGGUGUCUUAUGUUGUCUGAUAUAGGGGGUGGCACACAUAAAACUCUUGAGGUUGAAUUGCAAGGAAGGGGAAGCACAGAAGAGAUGCAGGUGGCUGUGUACGAGGAGACUCUAGUUUCACCUCAUGACUUCAUUUGCCAAGAGUAAAGGAGUUUUGCACGAAAGAUGAAAGGAAUAGUUACCAACUUUGGGUUUUAUGUACGAAAAUUGGAAGGUACACCUGAUGUGUGGAUGUGUGUAUGGAGAGUCUUGUUUCACCUUAUGGCUACAUUUGCCAAGAUGAGGAAGGUCGUAGACAACAUAACAAAAGUGAAUGGAGGAGAGUGAAUGAGAGGUAUUUUCGAUUCCUGUACACUUUAGAAUUAUUGAUGAUUUAAUUAUCGAAUAAGUUGUAAAUUAACCUCAAAUCAGGGAAGAGUGCUUGUCAGAAAAAGCAGACAAUUAUCUUCAGUAAGCUAGAGAAGUUAGAACUUACAGUUGAUGCUUCUGCACUUAAGAACGGAAAGAAAUACUUUUAAGAGAAGAUGAUAAUCAUGAUAGAUCCUAAAUAGAUAAUAUUGUACCGAGGGACUGGCUUGUGGGAAAUUCAGAGACUCGGCUGGGAUGUUUCUGCAGAUUAAGGGGUCCUAGUUCUGCACAUUUUGGGAAUCCUUGCGGGCAUUGGCCAUCAUGGAAGUAUGCCCUUCUGGUUAAGCAGUGGGGAAUGGUCACCUCAGUGUUGAUUUAUAAUGAUGUCCAUAGAAUUUUUGUUGGGAUGCAGUUAGACAGGUGACUAGCCAUAUGAUUAACCACUAGAUGGUCCUCCUUUAAGCGUCGAAUGGUGUACCAAACCAACUACGCUAUUGAGGUGCUCUUGUAUUUUCUGAUAUAUGACCCGAGUAUGGCAUGGCCUGCGAAGACACUUACCUGCAGAUUUACAAAGGAGGUUUCCAUUUCUCAGUCUGUAACUAAACAUUGAUUGUCUUCAAGACAAUCCACUCUGUGUUCUUCUGGUUCUAUGUUUGGCAUCUGUGGUUGUUAAACGUUUCUGAAAGCUUUGACAGAAUUAUGUGCAUCAUUUGUUCGAACUCAAAUAUUCUAGUGGUUUAUCAUACUUUUUUUACUAA